CCUACGGGGGGCAGCAGUGGGGAAUAUUGCACAAUGGGGGAAACCCUGAUGCAGCGACGCCGCGUGUAGGAAGAAGGUCUUCGGAUCGUAAACUUCUAUCAGCAGGGAAGAAGAAAGUGACGGUACCGGAAUAAGAAGCCCCGGCUAACUACGUGCCAGCAGCCGCGGUAAUACGUAGGGGGCAAGCGUGAUCCGGAAUCACUGGGGGUAAAGGGUGCGUAGGCGGUAGGGCAAGUCAGAUGUGAAAGCCCGGAGCUCAACUCCGGGAUUGCAUUUGAAACUGUCUUACUAGAGUGCAGGAGAGAAAAGCGGAAUUCCUAGUGUAGCGGUCAAGUGCGAUGAUAUUAGGAAGAACACCAGUGGCGAAGCCGGCUCUCUCGACUGUAACUGACGCUGAGGAAUGAAAGCGCGGGGAGCGAACAGGAUUAGAUAGCCUUGUAUUC
RNAcentral lists this ribosomal RNA (443 nucleotides) under uncultured bacterium. Its description in RNAcentral is "bacterial SSU rRNA". It matches the Rfam family "Bacterial small subunit ribosomal RNA", at positions 338 to 795 of the family's 1533-position model. The record is from RNAcentral.